CGGUGAGGUAGAGGUUGCGCGUAUUAGGAGUAACAUAUGGGAAGCAAGUGGAGCUUAUGAACAUAUGUGAAAGGAAUGAGCGCCGAAGCUUAUAAAAAACCACUUUUUUUAUAAGCUGGGCCUGUAUUAAAUAAGUACAGGACUGCCACAAGUUUUUGUGGAGGGCUAUCAGAGAG
This 176-nucleotide non-coding RNA is filed under the name Priestia endophytica. RNAcentral's name for it is "Bacillus endophyticus Lysine sequence". It matches the Rfam family "Lysine riboswitch aptamer". Rfam says of the family: Riboswitches are metabolite binding domains within certain messenger RNAs that serve as precision sensors for their corresponding targets. Allosteric rearrangement of mRNA structure is mediated by ligand binding, and this results in modulation of gene expression. This family includes riboswitches that sense lysine in a number of genes involved in lysine metabolism, including lysC. Lineage: Bacteria; Bacillati; Bacillota; Bacilli; Caryophanales; Bacillaceae. The record is from Rfam by way of RNAcentral.